RNAcentral lists this ribosomal RNA (253 nucleotides) under uncultured bacterium. RNAcentral describes it as "partial 16S ribosomal RNA". It matches the Rfam family "Bacterial small subunit ribosomal RNA", at positions 524 to 776 of the family's 1533-position model. The record is from RNAcentral.
GACGGAGGAUGCAAGCGUUAUCCGGAAUUAUUGGGCGUAAAGCGUCCGCAGGUGGACAUACAAGUCUGCUGUCAAAGUGCAGAGCUUAACUCUGUAAAGGCGGUGGAAACUGUAGGUCUUGAGUAUGGUAGGGGUAGAGGGAAUUCCCGGUGUAGCGGUGAAAUGCGUAGAUAUCGGGAAGAACACCAGUGGCGAAAGCGCUCUACUGGGCCAUAACUGACGCUGAGGAGCGAAAGCAUGGGGAGCGAACAGG